This 230-nucleotide ribosomal RNA is filed under the name uncultured bacterium. RNAcentral's name for it is "partial 16S ribosomal RNA". It matches the Rfam family "Bacterial small subunit ribosomal RNA", at positions 563 to 791 of the family's 1533-position model. The record is from RNAcentral.
UAAGCGUGCGCAGGCGGUUAUGCAAGACAGAUGUGAAAUCCCCGGGCUCAACCUGGGAACUGCAUUUGUGACUGCAUGGCUAGAGUACGGUAGAGGGGGAUGGAAUUCCGCGUGUAGCAGUGAAAUGCGUAGAUAUGCGGAGGAACACCGAUGGCGAAGGCAAUCCCCUGGACCUGUACUGACGCUCAUGCACGAAAGCGUGGGGAGCAAACAGGAUUAGAUACCCUAGU